GCCCCGAUCUCUUCUCUCCCUCUCUCGUCGUCGGAGAAGUGCAGCAGAGCGAGGUAACGCCCACGAGGCCAAGACCGCGAGGUUGACACCGCGACCAAGCCGCCACUUGAAUGCCUACUGAGCUUUGAAGGUUCUGGUGGAGAAAAUAAUAAUUCCUAGUGGUUUCUCUACUCCAUUGCAGGAAUCCUCUAUCUUACUACGAUGCUGUCAUUGGUGGAAUGGGAUUGCACGCGGGAUUAAUAUUCCAACUCUUGAAUUUGACAGAGUCCGAAAAUCAUUGCUAGUAUAGGUAAGCUGUAUACUUAAAGCUGAAGGACUUUUUGUUAAGAGACUAACUUACUCUUAAUGGCACAUAGUAAAGGCCACGGUUGACACAACUAGAACAAUGGCAUCUUUGUUUUUAUUAGUCAACCAAGGAGUCUGUUCAUGUUUCUACUGGGAGUCCAUUUGGGCAUCGUAACAUGACCUCUAUCACCUAUGUGUGAUCGUUUAAUCAUAAUUUGUAUAUAUGUCUUACCUCAUCGUGAAGAUCUUUUUAGCUGUCAGCUGGUAAAGAAGUAAACAUGUUGAAGAUUUUCAUUUGCAGUCUUGCAACACUAGCCUUCUUUGCAGAUAGUUCUCUGAUAUAUGAAGAAAACUAAAUGCCAAACUUCUAUAUAAGAGUUUAUCUACUGAAUGAUUGUUUCCCAGCUAGGUACUACUUAUGGUUUGGAUCAUACUGUUAAACUUUUAAAACAGCCACAUUGCCAAAGCUCCCGAUAAAUUUUUAAAAUGAUUUGGAUAUGUAGGAAAUGGAGAAAGUGGAGAUGUGAGAACAUGUUCAUGUUCCCCACUAUUCUUGAUGGAAAAGAUCAUCAUACCCCUAGGUCAUUUUCUUUUAUAAAUAGUACGUCCAAGGAUCAUCAGGAGUGCAACGUAGAGAGAGGAAGGAGAAUAUCUGAGUCGGUGGGAUUUGGUUUGUGGAAUUACGGAGAGCCUUCCGAUCCUGUGAUCGCUCUUCUGAUAGCGAGUCUUGCCGACGUCGAUUGCAGAUCUGCAAGAGAUCACUGUAAGCAUUUACUGUUUAUCAUUUUAAUUCGUAUCCAUGUAUUUAGAAUAAUCAACAAUGGUAUCAGAGUAGUGUUAGUUCUAAAUGCAUGUACGAUCUCCCGUUUUAAAAUCGAUGUCCUCU
Long non-coding RNA from Zingiber officinale, 1171 nucleotides. RefSeq lists it as uncharacterized. The record is from RefSeq and is a predicted model, not a curated record. The transcript is spliced from 3 exons. NCBI's taxonomy places the organism in Eukaryota, Viridiplantae, Streptophyta, Magnoliopsida, Zingiberales, Zingiberaceae.